This is a long non-coding RNA of Diceros bicornis minor, 506 nucleotides long. RefSeq lists it as uncharacterized. The record is from RefSeq and is a predicted model, not a curated record. Lineage: Eukaryota; Metazoa; Chordata; Mammalia; Perissodactyla; Rhinocerotidae. The transcript is spliced from 3 exons.
GGAUCACAAUGUCUGAAUUUCCUCUAAUUUCAACCCCUUCAGGAUGCAGACCUGAAAAUGAGGCCCAGAGGGGCAGUGACUUUCCCAAGAUCACACAUCUGGAACCCAGAGAAGUUCUGACUGAGCUGCACCCAAGAGAUGGUCGAGGAGCUGGUGGAUGGCUUCCAGUUGACCCUCUCCCUGGAGAGAACACAAGUGCACCACUCCAUCAAUGACCAGGGCUGCUCUGAGUGUGAGGAUGAGUUCACUGUGAAUUUAAAUGAGGCCUGCAGGAUGCGUGCCCUCCAGGCAGCGUGAUGGAGAAGCUGACAGAGUCCAUGGUACCAGCUUUCCUGAGUAGGAAUAUGUCCAGCUUCACCACCUUCAUGAUCAACUACUCGGCCUUAGACACAUCCCACCGGGUCCUGGACCAGCUGUUUACUAGCUGAGUAGCCACUCCCUCCUCAGCACAGUGGUGACUCUGCCCACUGCCAGCUGUGUACCUUGGGCAAAUCCCCACAUCUCUC